CGGCAUUGGAAUAGUUCCAUACAGUCCUCUUGGUCGUGGAUUUUUCGGUGGCAAAGCUGUUGUGGAGAAUGUACCUGCAGAUAGCUUUUUGGUACUUUUUUCGGUCAAUGUUUAUCCGCAUCAUUUUGUUUCCUCAGUCAGUACUAUAUAAAUGUUUUAAACUAACAAAAGUAGUUUUACAGUUUCUUUUAAUGCUACUGUUUUAUAUAUCGUAGUAUAUAUGAAAAUGAUACGUGUGUUUGUUUUAUAAGCAUUUUCUUCCUAGGUUCAAAGGAGAGAACCUGGACAGGAACAAGAGUAUUUAUUUUCGCAUAGAGAACCUUGCCAAAAAGUACAAUUGCACUUCUGCUCAACUAGCCCUAGCAUGGGUUCUCGGACAGGGGGAUGAUGUCGUACCUAUUCCCGGUAACUUCUUUCUUUCGAGUUUGUGAUUCAUGUAGUGCCUUGAAGAAGUAUAUAGAGUUUAAAAAACCCAGUGGAUAAAAUGAUAUUACCAGCGAUAUUACUUACUGUUAAGUUGCUUCAAUUUUCAGGGACAACUAAGAUGAAAAACCUUGAUGACAAUAUUGACUCCUUGAGGAUUAAACUUACAAAAGAGGAUCUGAAAGAAAUUUCUGACGCUGUGCCCAUAGAAGAGGUAGCAGGAAACAGAGACCCGGAAGGCUUUGAUAAAGCAUCGUGGAAGUUUGCAAACACACCUCCAAAAGACUGCAAGGUUUGAACUUAAAAUAGUUCUGGAUGCUGCCUAUCUUACUUGGGGCUGGGAUGCAAUACUUUAUUCAAAUAAUGGCAGAUAAAUGCCAAAUUAUCUGUACAAUCUACUACUUGGCUAUCUGCCUAUUUGAUGUUAAACUUUGAUUAUUACGAUCUACUAUAUGUUUGGAAAUUUAGCAUGGCCAAUUUGUGAAAGGAAAAUACGCAUGUUUGAACUUUUCUAAGUUAAAGCUGAAUUCCAAGUUACUAUAAAAUCUUGCCAACUUGCUUUCCUUGAAAAUAAAGAUUAGAAAUAUCCAAAUUUUGGAUUGUAAUGAUUUUCCUGGAUUUUACUUCAUCAUAGUGUAGAUAUAUGUUGAAAUAUUUUCAGCCUUUUUGAGUUCCACGAAUGUGACAUGAAUGAAAUCUGUGAACCAUAUUUUAGCUCAAGCUGUUUCUCAACAAGACCUGGAGGACACUGGAUUGAAAAUAUAGUUUCUCAACAUACUACAUUGUCACUGCAACUUGAGUGGUUAAAUGAUAAAAGGUGAGUAUGUGUUGUUCAGAAAUAAGAAUAAUUGCAUAAAUUGUGAAGUUCACAAUACCAUUCAGGAGGCUAAAUUGACACAUUAAAAAACUUUCAAAUUCCUUCACCAACAAGGCACCAGUGGUCUUGUGGUAGAAUAAUACCCUGCCACGUAACAGACCCAGGUAUAGUAAUUAGCCCCACCUUCGAAUAAUUUUUAUUGUUGCCUUCUUUUGAUUAGUUCCAAAUCCUGCUUUAUUUUGUUAGUCCAUGGUACAAAGUACAAAACAGCAACACCAUUAACUCUCUUACGCCCUCCUUUAAUAAGAGUUAAGCUAAGCUACAAAGAGAGGAAAAGCUAACAGCUUUUCCAAAGAUGGCAGAAAAGAACAGAAUCCAAGUUCCAAGAGUGAAAUUUGGAUUUCCGAUUUGUAGUUUUCAUUUUUCUUUUUGUAUUUUUUUCCUUCAAUGCUGAUAAUUUGUUUUCUCUGACUGUGUUUUUGUGCUUUCACAGGUUUCAAAGCUGGGGUUUGGAUGCAUGAGCCUGAGCGGAGGUUACAAUUCUCGGGUCUCUGAAGAGGAUGGCAUCUCAAUAAUGAAGCAUGCUUUCAACAAAGGAAUCACUUUCUUUGAUACUGCUGAUAGAUAUGGACCAUAUAUACUAAUGAAAUUCUUCUUAGAAAGGUAAUGAUUAAGAAAAUGGAAUAAAAUGAAGUUAUCUUAUCAUGGAAUAACAUUUUAAAAGAAAAUCCAAAAUACAAAUAGGUUAUGUUUAUGCCAAAAAUUUAAAUAAAAAAAUAUAAAUUAGUAAUUAAAUUAACUUAACAAGGAUGAUGUUGCCGUAUUACACACAAAAAUAUAUUUUAUUUUGAUGAAUACUUAACGUUUGUAAAAUAAAUUAAAUUAAUUAGGAGUAAUAUGGACUUCUUAUUAUAAAAUAGCUUAAAUUGUUAGGGUAAGAGUUGAUUGUAGCAUUAUUAAAUUUAAAGGAGUAAGUAGUAUUUCUAACUUAUACUUGAGGAAGGAAUCUGUAAUUUUUCCAUGCAAAUAAGAAAUAUGUUUGUUUAAGGUAAUGGUAAAUAGCUACUCUUAGACAUUACUAAGAAAAUCAUAAGGUGGAAAUCAAAUCAUUGUUAAAAUUAUGUCAAUUUAUUUGGGGGGGAAAAAGUUCACUCCUUUCUAGUUUCUAGCCUUGAAGCAGUUGCCUAGGUUACAAGAUCAGCCACAAAGUUUGGGAUUACAGAAAUAGAUACCCCUGAGUAUGUACUCUGUUUUGUCGUGAAGCAAGCUUGAAGCACCUUGAUUUGAUUAUUAAUUGGUUUGACUUUCCUCUAAUCUUUUGGGUAAUUUCUAUAUAUGCUUUCACUAAAAACAAAUAAAUUUGCAAAGAAUACAUACAUAGAUAACUUUCUUUCAAAAUUAAAAAAAAAAAAAAAAAUGACCAACAAAGUGUUGGCUCCACUGGCAAUGGAGUUCCCUUAAGUGGCUUGACUGGGUUUGCUCCCCAGUUCGAGUCGCAGGGAAGUCGCCUUUGUUGGGAGAAUCUGUGCCUCCCGGUUCGAGCGGGGACUUCUAGUCUGAGUUGUGGUACGGGCUUAAAGGUGCCUCCCACAGUUGGGGCCCUCCCCAGGAUACCUCGUGAUUAAUAUAAAAAAAAAUGACAAGGAGAAAUUAUGAAUAUGAUGAUUCUUUAAAUAAAAAAUUUUACUGAUUUUCUAACAGCACAAAAUGCUUGAGAGGAAGAGAUUCUCAUAAAUCAAAUGUGAAAGGAUUAUGUUACCAUAAUAUAAAUAUGAAAAUGAAUUUUUCAUUUCUACUUAGAGCCUUGGGCCCAAACAAUUUUUUUUUUUCAAGUAUAAUACUUGAAUAGUUACAACAAAUGAUCGGACUAAUGACAUACACAAUACUUGAAUUUUCAGUAUAGAUUUAUAUUGAUGCAACAAAAUUGAUUCUCAUCUUCAUAGGCUAAGAAAUACAAAUCCAUUACUCAACUAAAAUUAUGGCGCAGAAGUUUUUGUUUUUGUUAAGGUUAAAAAAUGAGCAUAAAAGUAUACAUUUAACUGAUAAAUAAUUAGAAAAUUGAUAAAAUUAUUAAUUUUUUUUAGAAAAUUGAUUGAACUAGUCUGCAACAUUAAGUUUCAACAUAUCGUCCAAGGAUAGCCUAGCCAAGUUGGUAGCAAGAGAUUAAAUGUUCCAAUUUAAGGGGAUAUUCAUAGAUGUAAUCUGAAACAAAAAUGAAAUAAAAGUAAAAAUAAGCAAAUAAUGAAGUAAAAUCAUAAUCGAAUAAGAAUGCUAAGUUUUUAAAGAGGAGAGAAAUUACAAGUUAAGAUACGUUCAAAUUUCUUUGCAAACACACCCCUAAAAGAUUGCUAGGUUUGAACUCAAAAUAUUUCUUGAUGCUGCCUUAGUAGCUAUCUAACGCUUGGGGUCGGGAUCAAUACUUUAUUCAAAUAAAUGCUAAAUUAUCAAUAAAUUCUACUACAUGACUCUCUGCCUAUUGGAUGGAAAUUUGUAAAUUUAAUUCUGCCGAUUUUGUGAACUGAAAUUAUCUUUCGUUGUUAACUAGAAGUUAUAGCCUCAAGUUGCAAUAAAAUUUUGGCAAAUAGAGAUUGCAAAAUCCACCAGGAAAAUGCAGGGUGGCUUUUAUGUAUUUUAAUUCAGAUUGCUAUGUUGUUGCUACAUAACUGCCAUGUACCGAAUCAAAUGUAAACGCUUAAGGCUAUUUCUAGUAAAUAAUCUCCUAAAUUAAAAGAUGAAUUUGUUCCUACCUCCUUUUGGAGUUUUGGGUUCUGAUGCAGUGACUAUUCAAAUAUUGUUCUAAAAAGUUUAGAUACUUGACAUUCAAACUAUUAUGAAUAGUUAAUGGUCUUUACAUUGCUUGUAUUAUGAGGUCGGCAUGAGCCCUCAAUCAAAGAAGACACAAAGCCAUUGCAUUUGCAUUCAAGGGUAACAUAGGAGCCUAAAAUUUGCCACAAGAACAAAUAGAAACUACGGAAUAUACACUAUUGUGUUCAAAUUUCGUUCAAUUAAAAUAACGUCGUGGCACAUAUAUAAUUUAUGUUAUUAGAGAAAGUUUUUUAUGACACUAACGUACCAUGUUAUCAUACGUUUAUGCAAUAGAAUUGUAAUAUAUAUCCAUUUUGAAGUUGACCAACCAUGAAAGUGAGAGGAAACAAAAUUAAAACUUGGUGACACAAUAUAUUAUAUGGUCAAAUCGAGACUGUAAAUUUCUCUCCUAAGUUCUAACUGACAUUUUGCAAAGUCUAGGGGAUAUUUCUUAACUUUUAAAAUAUUUUGAACUUGUUUCCAAUUACACUGAACUUUGGGACACUUGUCAAAACUUUAUAAGUUCAUGAUUAAUCAUGAUAAAGAUAAAGAGCACGUGUCCCAGCUUAACACUUUUAGUCAUACGGAGCCUUCGACUUGGAGCCAAACCAGAAUCCUCUGUCUCAUUCUGCUCAUUGUUGACGUUAGAGUCAACUGUCUCUCUACUUAUUGAAACUUGAAAGACACCCAAAACAAAGAAACCAAAACUACAGCUUCAAAAAUGGCAGAAGAGAAACUCCAAGUUCCAAGAGUGAAACUUGGUACCCAAGGCCUCGAGGUAAACUACCCAUAUGUAAUUUUUUUUUUAAAAUCAAAUCCUGGAAAUUUGUUUUCUACAAUUGUGUGUUUUUCACGCUCUUACAGGUUUCAAAGUUGGGGCUUGGAUGCAUGAACCUGAGUUCUGGUUAUAGCUCUCCAGUCUCAGAAGAGGAUGGCAUCUCAAUGAUAAAACAUGCUUUCAGUAAAGGAAUCACUUUCUUUGAUACUGCUGAUGUGUACGGACAAAAUGCUAAUGAAAUUCUUCUGGGAAAGGUUAGAGUCAUUUCUUUGAAUUCUCUUACCUCUUAUAUAAUUCGGACAUAGGUCAAGUGAUAACUUAAGAAUCACAGUCCUGAUGAAAUAUGUUUGUUUAGGAAUUGGUGAAACCUCGUCGGAUUUUUUUGAAUCUUAUUGAAUUAAAAAAAAAAAAAAAAAGAGUACUCCUUCGAUUUCAGGCCUUCAAGAUGUUGCCCAGAGAAAAGGUACAAAUAGCCACAAAGUUUGGGGUUGUAGGACUAAGAGAUAAUGGCGUGAUCGUGAAGGGCACCCCUGAUUACGUGCGCUUGUGUUGUGAAGCUAGCCUGAAGCGACUUGAUGUGGAUUACAUUGAUCUAUAUUAUCAACAUAGAGUGGACACAUCAGUCCCCAUAGAGGAAACCGUGAGCGAUUUUUUUUUUUUUUUUUUUUUUUUUUUGGGCUAUCUGAAUUGUAGAGUUCUGUCCCAAAUUGCAAAAUUUAAAGAAUUAUUUUAGAAACUCUAUUACUUGUCAUGCUAUAGAUUGGUGAAAUGAAGAAGCUGGUGGAAGAGGGUAAAAUCAAGUACAUUGGAUUAUCUGAGGCCAGCCCAGACACAAUUAGGAGAGCACAUGCUGUUCAUCCCAUCACAGCUGUACAAAUGGAAUGGUCCCUCUGGACUCGUGAUAUUGAGGAAGAGAUAAUACCCCUCUGCAGGUUUGUUCUUCUUUCAGUGAAUACUAUCCGCAUUAGUCUUUUCUUCUACAGGCCUUUGAAGAGUGUCUAAGGACCUAUUUAUUUGUUCCAAUCUAGUAUUUUGUACCUAAUGUUUGUAGAAUUUUUUAAAUUUAAUUGCAUGCAUAGAGUAGAUUAGAUUUUCUGUGCAAGUGUAUGCUAAUAAAUACAAGGCUGCCCUUCUGAUACAUUGAGGUGGGCAGGGAACUCGGCAUUGGAAUAGUUCCAUACAGUCCUCUUGGUCAUGGAUUUUUUGGUGGCAAAGCUGUUGUGGAGAGUGUACCUGCAGAUAGCUUUUUGGUACUUUUUCCGAUCAAUGUUUAUCCGCAUCAUUUUGUUUCCUAAGUCAGUACUAUAUAAAAUGUUUUAAACUAGCAAAAGUAGUCUUACAGUUUCUUUAACUGUUUUAUAUAUCGUCGUACAUAUGAAAAUGAUACAUGUAUUUGUUUUAUAAGCAUUUUCUUCCUAGGUUCAAAGGAGAGAACCUGGACAGGAACAAGAGUAUUUAUUUUCGCAUAGAGAACCUUGCCAAAAAGUACAAUUGCACUUCUGCUCAACUAGCCCUAGCAUGGGUUCUUGGACAGGGGGAUGAUGUCGUACCUAUUCCCGGUAACUUCUUUCUUUCGAGUUUUUGAUUCAUGUAUUACCUUGAAGAAGUAUAUAGAGUUUAAAAAACCCAGCGGAUAAAAAGAUAUUACCAGCAAUAUUACUUACUGUUAAGUUGCUUCAAUUUUCAGGGACAACUAAGAUUAAAA
This 6528-nucleotide long non-coding RNA is filed under the name Citrus x clementina. Its description in RNAcentral is "Citrus clementina (C. clementina) long non-coding RNA (CCLE_LNC002907)". Lineage: Eukaryota; Viridiplantae; Streptophyta; Magnoliopsida; Sapindales; Rutaceae. The record is from RNAcentral.